AUUUACUGAAAGAUAAAAGCCUGUACAGUAUCCAGUAUGGAGGAAAUGUGGAUAGGGUUAGGGGUGAAAAGAAUUAGCUCAGUAAAUGAAAAUGCCACAUUCCAAUAGAGGAACAUGCUGGUAGCCAUUGUUUAAGUUUUUAUCUUGAGUUGAGCUGAGGACAUGCCGUCUUAGACGGAAAUGAGUGUUAACAUGUUGCCGAAUAGUCUUGGGGAGGGAGCUGUGACUCAGUGGCUUCCUGUGCCCCGGCGGGCCUCCCAUUAGAGUUAGACGAUACUGAUCACAGCACCCUUCUCAGUGGUACACUGGUGCCCACUUAGUGGAAGAUUGGUUAGUAAAACAAUCAAAGGAAAGUCGUUGUCGCCGAAUUUUUUUAUUGUAGAUCAAAAUGAUCAGUCAGAGGGUCCCAGGCCUGCCGCCUGAGUCAGGAAGACAUUUCUGUGGACAGGAGAGCAGAGAGAUGAGUGAAACCACAGAUGGAAAGCAAGGAGAGUGCCAUUUUACCACAGACCCCUUGGAGCAAGGGGAUGUGCUUUCUGAUCACGUCUGGUAAUACUUUACUCAACAACCAAAGAACAUCCAGCCGACUUGACAACUGUGGAAAGCAUUGGAGUCGACAUGGGCCAGCAUCUCUGUGGAACGCUUUCGACACCUUGUACAGUGGGGUGGGGGGACUAAAUUGUAAGUGUUGGGUGUUCUUAAUGUUUGGUACACUCAGUGUAUACUGUGUAACAAUAGGGUCACACAAACUAAAAAUGAUGGGUCUUACUGUGCUUUCUUUUAGAACAAAUCAUGACUAUCAGAUUAUGAACUGUAAAAUAAAGCAAACCUAAUGUGCUGUUUAUAUUUUCAACCAUACAUAUGCCAUACCUCUCUCUUCAGCCACUCAUUCUCUUUGAUCUCCUGUCGGCUGUGCUUGUCAAGGUGUUUGAUGGCCCUCUGAGGAAAAAGUGUGUUAUCAUCGAAAAUAAAUCAAUCUGUUCUGCU
Long non-coding RNA from Oncorhynchus nerka (sockeye salmon), 987 nucleotides. RefSeq lists it as uncharacterized. The record is from RefSeq and is a predicted model, not a curated record. Lineage: Eukaryota; Metazoa; Chordata; Actinopteri; Salmoniformes; Salmonidae. The transcript has 3 exons.